UGCCCUGGGUGGCUGCCGGUCAGGUCGGCCGCCCCUGACAGCUCCCGGAGCCUCAGGCGCGACAGCGGCGCCCUCACCUCGGGACAUCCACACACCGACUGCUCCUGUUCCAGAGGCAACCACCCAGCGCGCCUAGCCUGGCGCGGUGCAGCGAAGCCCAAGAGCUGGCCUCGCCACGAAGAGACUGGGUCUCGCCAUGUUGCCCAGGCAUGUCUCAAACUCCUGGGCUCAAGGGAUCUUCCUGCCUCAGCCUCCUGAGGAGCUGGGACUACAGGUUGAACCAGCCAAAUUUUCGAGACAGCUCACGGCUUAGAGGAAGGUUCAUCUAAAUAAAGGCCGGCUAAAGUGACAUUGCAGGGAUUAAAUCCUUCUUUGGCUGCCUGUGUGACCAGAAGGCUUAUUUGCAAGUUUCUUCUUUCCUGAGGUCCAGAUUAUUAGGUCUCCAGCGCCCUGCGGCUUGACAGCAAGAGAAGCAUGAAAUGAAGGUCAGAGAUGAGAUCCCGCAGCAGGGACUUGGGGGCCUCCCAGGGGCAUUUACACACCAGAGUGCAAGAU
RNAcentral lists this small RNA (555 nucleotides) under Pongo abelii (Sumatran orangutan). RNAcentral describes it as "processed transcript". Lineage: Eukaryota; Metazoa; Chordata; Mammalia; Primates; Hominidae. The record is from RNAcentral.